This 921-nucleotide ribosomal RNA is filed under the name Aphelenchoides besseyi. RNAcentral's name for it is "SSU rRNA". It matches the Rfam family "Eukaryotic small subunit ribosomal RNA", at positions 63 to 1025 of the family's 1831-position model. The record is from RNAcentral. Lineage: Eukaryota; Metazoa; Nematoda; Chromadorea; Rhabditida; Aphelenchoididae.
GGGGUUUGAAACGUUUAAGCGACCUGCGACGGCUCAUUACAACAGAUAUAAUCUACUUGUUCUAUGACUUAAAUGGAUAACUGCGGUAAUUCUGGAGCCAAUACAUGCGAACAGCUGCGGCCUUCGGGUUGCAGUGCUAUUAUUGGAGCAAAACUAUUCGUUAGUCCUUUUGCUAACUCUGGAUAAUACUGCGUAUCGCACGAUCUUGUGUCGGCGAAGUUUCAUUCGAGUAUCUGCCCUAUCAACUGGUUGGCAGUGUAUUGGACUGCCAUGGUUCUAACGGGUAACGGAGAAUCAGGGUUUGACUCCGGAGAAUCCGCCUUAAAAACGGCGAAUAUGUCUAAGGAUAGCAGCAGGCGCGAAAAUUACCCAAUAUCAAUACGAUGAGGUAGUGACGAGAAAUAACGAGUCCGUUCUCUCUGAGGUCGGACAUUGGAAUGGGUACAAUGUAGACAAUUUAACGAGUAUCUACGAGAGGGCAAGUCUGGUGCCAGCAGCCGCGGUAAUUCCAGCUCUCGUAAUACAUAGAAUUAUUGUUGCGGUUAAAAAGUUCAUAGUUGGAUUGUUGAACCGUUCGGGGUGCGUCUUAACGGGCGUCACUCGUGGGCGGUAUUUUGCGCGUUUUCGGGCCUUCGGGUCGGUGAUGCGCAGGAUUACUUUGAACGGCUUAAGUGCUCAAGGCGGGUCUUACGACUGAAUACCGGUGCAUGGAAUAAUGGAACAAGGUUGCGGCGAGUUUUAUUGGUUUUGUCGGCUGAAACAAUGGUUAACAGGAACAGCGGGGGCAUUCGUAUCGCUGCGCGAGAGGUGAAAUUCGAGGACCGUAGCGAGACGCACUAAAGCGAAGGCAUUUGCCAGAGUGUUUUCAUUAAUCAAGAACGAAAGUCAGAGGUUCGAAGGCGAUUAGAUACCGCCCUAGUC